AUGCAAAAGACUCAAGUGACCCUCUUGCUACAGAAGUGGUUAAUCUUGAAGAAGAGACAACCAAGAAACCCACUACCCCGCAUGAAGAGGUUGCACAGUCAACCAAUGCAGGUUCAUCCGGUCCCAAACCAAAAAAAAUCCAAACCAAAUCCUUCUGCGGAAGACAGGUUACACGCCACCAUACUUGCAUCUAGUGAAAGAAUUGCUAUUGUGAUAGAGAAGAGUUCUAGCACCGAGAACAAUGCCAUAGAUGGUCUUUGGGAGCGCAUGAAAGUACUCCCUGGGUUUAGUUUGGAUUACCUUGCUCAUUACUAUGCAUAUUUGGUUGACAAUCCUCGUGUUGCAAUGGCAUUCAAGGUGUUGGAAGAUGAUCAAAAGAAGGUUUGGGUUUCUAGAUAUGUCAAGAGUACCUUUCAUGAAGCGUGA
Molecule: ribosomal RNA, 426 nt
Filed under: Triticum aestivum (bread wheat)
Lineage: Eukaryota; Viridiplantae; Streptophyta; Magnoliopsida; Poales; Poaceae
Description: partial small subunit ribosomal RNA
Source: RNAcentral